RNAcentral lists this ribosomal RNA (600 nucleotides) under uncultured bacterium. RNAcentral's name for it is "bacterial SSU rRNA". It matches the Rfam family "Bacterial small subunit ribosomal RNA", at positions 338 to 943 of the family's 1533-position model. The record is from RNAcentral.
CCUACGGGAGGCAGCAGUGGGGGAAUAUUGCACAAUGGGCGAAAGCCUGAUGCAGCGACGCCGCGUGAGGGAUGACGGCCUUCGGGUUGUAAACCUCUUUCAGCAGGGAAGAAGCGAAAGUGACGGUACCUGCAGAAGAAGCGCCGGCUAACUACGUGCCAGCAGCCGCGGGUAAUACGUAGGGCGCAAGCGUUGUCCGGAAUUAUUGGGCGUAAAGAGCUCGUAGGCGGCUUGUCACGUCGGGUGUGAAAGCCCGGGGCUUAACCCCGGGGUCUGCAUUCGAUACGGGCUAGCUAGAGUGUGGUAGGGGAGAUCGGAAUUCCUGGUGUAGCGGUGAAAUGCGCAGAUAUCAGGAGGAACACCGGUGGCGAAGGCGGAUCUCUGGGCCAUUACUGACGCUGAGGAGCGAAAGCGUGGGGAGCGGAACAGGAUUAGAUACCCUGGUAGUCCACGCCGUAAACGGUGGGAACUAGGUGUUGGCGACAUUCCACGUCGUCGGUGCCGCAGCUAACGGCAUUAAGUUCCCGCCUGGGGAGUACGGCCGCAGGCAAACUUAAAUGAAUUGACGGCUUGAGACGNGCGAGNGCGACGAGGGAGAGG